RNAcentral lists this ribosomal RNA (254 nucleotides) under uncultured bacterium. Its description in RNAcentral is "partial 16S ribosomal RNA". It matches the Rfam family "Bacterial small subunit ribosomal RNA", at positions 524 to 776 of the family's 1533-position model. The record is from RNAcentral.
UACGAAGGGGGCUAGCGUUGCUCGGAAUCACUGGGCGUAAAGCGCACGUAGGCGGGUUGUUAAGUCAGGGGUGAAAUCCUGGAGCUCAACUCCAGAACUGCCUUUGAUACUGGCAAUCUUUGAGUCCGGGAGAGGUGGGUGGAACUGCGAGUGUAGAGGUGAAAUUCGUAGAUAUUCGCAAGAACACCAGUGGCGAAGGCGGCUCACUGGCCCGGUACUGACGCUGAGGUGCGAAAGCGUGGGGAGCAAACAGG